RNAcentral lists this ribosomal RNA (492 nucleotides) under uncultured bacterium. RNAcentral describes it as "partial 16S ribosomal RNA". It matches the Rfam family "Bacterial small subunit ribosomal RNA", at positions 29 to 507 of the family's 1533-position model. The record is from RNAcentral.
AGUGAACGCUGGCGGUAGGCCUAACACAUGCAAGUCGAACGGCAGCACAGUAAGAGCUUGCUCUUACGGGUGGCGAGUGGCGGACGAGUGAUGAAUACAUCGGAAUCUACUUUUUCGUGGGGGAUAACGUAGGGAAACUUACGCUAAUACCGCAUACGACCUACGGGUGAAAGCAGGGGAUCUUCGGACCUUGCGCGAUUGAAUGAGCCGAUGUCGGAUUAGCUAGUUGGCGGGGUAAAGGCCCACCAAGGCGACGAUCCGUAGCUGGUCUGAGAGGAUGAUCAGCCACACUGGAACUGAGACACGGUCCAGACUCCUACGGGAGGCAGCAGUGGGGAAUAUUGGACAAUGGGCGCAAGCCUGAUCCAGCCAUACCGCGUGGGUGAAGAAGGCCUUCGGGUUGUAAAGCCCUUUUGUUGGGAAAGAAAAGCAGCAGGUUAAUACCCCGCUGUUCUGACGGUACCCAAAGAAUAAGCACCGGCUAACUUCGUG